RNAcentral lists this small nuclear RNA (107 nucleotides) under Ovis aries (sheep). The record is from RNAcentral. Lineage: Eukaryota; Metazoa; Chordata; Mammalia; Artiodactyla; Bovidae.
GUGCUCAUUUUGGCAGCACACACACUGAAAUUGGAAUGACACAGAGAAGAUUAGCAUGGCCCCUGUGCAAGGAUGACACACAAAUCUGUGAAGUGUUCCAGAUUUUU